RNAcentral lists this ribosomal RNA (1386 nucleotides) under bacterium NLAE-zl-P450. Its description in RNAcentral is "16S ribosomal RNA". It matches the Rfam family "Bacterial small subunit ribosomal RNA". RNAcentral also lists the same sequence under 3 other names. The record is from RNAcentral.
CAUGCAAGUCGAGGGGCAGCAUGGUCUUAGCUUGCUAAGGCCGAUGGCGACCGGCGCACGGGUGAGUAACACGUAUCCAACCUGCCGUCUACUCUUGGACAGCCUUCUGAAAGGAAGAUUAAUACAAGAUGGCAUCAUGAGUCCGCAUGUUCACAUGAUUAAAGGUAUUCCGGUAGACGAUGGGGAUGCGUUCCAUUAGAUAGUAGGCGGGGUAACGGCCCACCUAGUCUUCGAUGGAUAGGGGUUCUGAGAGGAAGGUCCCCCACAUUGGAACUGAGACACGGUCCAAACUCCUACGGGAGGCAGCAGUGAGGAAUAUUGGUCAAUGGGCGAGAGCCUGAACCAGCCAAGUAGCGUGAAGGAUGACUGCCCUAUGGGUUGUAAACUUCUUUUAUAAAGGAAUAAAGUCGGGUAUGNAUACCCGUUUGCAUGUNCUUUAUGAAUAAGGAUCGGCUAACUCCGUGCCAGCAGCCGCGGUAAUACGGAGGAUCCGAGCGUUAUCCGGAUUUAUUGGGUUUAAAGGGAGCGUAGAUGGAUGUUUAAGUCAGUUGUGAAAGUUUGCGGCUCAACCGUAAAAUUGCAGUUGAUACUGGAUAUCUUGAGUGCAGUUGAGGCAGGCGGAAUUCGUGGUGUAGCGGUGAAAUGCUUAGAUAUCACGAAGAACUCCGAUUGCGAAGGCAGCCUGCUAAGCUGCAACUGACAUUGAGGCUCGAAAGUGUGGGUAUCAAACAGGAUUAGAUACCCUGGUAGUCCACACGGUAAACGAUGAAUACUCGCUGUUUGCGAUAUACGGCAAGCGGCCAAGCGAAAGCGUUAAGUAUUCCACCUGGGGAGUACGCCGGCAACGGUGAAACUCAAAGGAAUUGACGGGGGCCCGCACAAGCGGAGGAACAUGUGGUUUAAUUCGAUGAUACGCGAGGAACCUUACCCGGGCUUAAAUUGCAGAUGAAUUACGGUGAAAGCCGUAAGCCGCAAGGCAUCUGUGAAGGUGCUGCAUGGUUGUCGUCAGCUCGUGCCGUGAGGUGUCGGCUUAAGUGCCAUAACGAGCGCAACCCUUGUUGUCAGUUACUAACAGGUUCCGCUGAGGACUCUGACAAGACUGCCAUCGUAAGAUGUGAGGAAGGUGGGGAUGACGUCAAAUCAGCACGGCCCUUACGUCCGGGGCUACACACGUGUUACAAUGGGGGGUACAGAGGGCCGCUACCACGCGAGUGGAUGCCAAUCCCAAAAACCUCUCUCAGUUCGGACUGGAGUCUGCAACCCGACUCCACGAAGCUGGAUUCGCUAGUAAUCGCGCAUCAGCCACGGCGCGGUGAAUACGUUCCCGGGCCUUGUACACACCGCCCGUCAAGCCAUGGGAGCCGGGGGUACCUGAAGUGCGUAACC